RNAcentral lists this small RNA (1169 nucleotides) under Arabidopsis thaliana (thale cress). Its description in RNAcentral is "ATSL084200". The record is from RNAcentral. Lineage: Eukaryota; Viridiplantae; Streptophyta; Magnoliopsida; Brassicales; Brassicaceae.
ACAUGAGUCAAAAGUCGCAUCUCUUGAUAUCGCUGUAGAUAGCUCGUCUCGCAAGUGUUUCGCAUGACCGCACCAUAAAGCUUUGGACAUGCUGUGGGAAUGAUGAAGAUAAUGGGAGAGAAACAAUGGACAUAGAACUCUAGUUUGUUUUUGAGUUAUUUACAUUUUACACUCUCACAUACUUUUUCAUCUUUCAUUUUACACUCCCACACUUUCAUCUUCCAAAACAAUUUUUUUCCUGUGUUAUUACCGAAACGCCCCCAACUACAUACCAUACACUUUUAUCUUUCAAAAAUAACGGUCCUCUUUUUUUUUUUCUCUCUCUCAUUCUCUCUCUUAUUAUUAUUUUAGUUACUUAAUAUAAAGUGUUUUGUCUGUUUUCUUAUAUAAUAAAUCAAGAAUUCAUUUUUCCUACAUUUUAAGAUCCAUUGUUACUAUAUUUUAAGUAAAUAAUUAUAUGACAGUUUAUCCAUUUCCGAUCGAACAUUUGUUUACUAUUAAAUGGAUUUUAAAAGGUACUUGCACAAAUAUACUAUACCGAUAUUUAUAACUACUGAUCAUCCAAACAUGUGAAAGAAAGUGAAUGCAAAGCUUGAAAAAACAAAAAUGCAGAUGUAUUAAUUCAAGCGUUCUGAUCUGAUCUGAUUCAAAUAAAAGAGAAGAACAUGACAAGUAAGAUGUCCAUCAAAGAUUGUAUAUAUGGAUGAUGGCAAGUAUGUUGACUAUUCAGUGUUAUUAAGUAUGUUUAGUGAACUUGAUCUAAGCAAUAUCCUUUGACCAUCUAAGUGGAUAAGUGUUUAUGGACAAGUGUUAAUGGACAAGUAUUUAUGGCCGAAACUAAGUAGAUGAACUGAAAGUGUUUAGAGAACCUUAAAUCUAUUAUGGUGUUGCUGGUUGUGAUGGUUUCCCAAGCCUGCAACAAGUCUUGAUGAUUUUCAAUUGGCCGACGAUAUAUAUGGUUUUCACAAAGCAUAUACAGUUAUCCAAACUUACUUUUAUUUGUGUGUUUUUAAGCUGGUGGUUCUUUAAGUCAUCCAUUUGUUCGAAUCUAGUAGACUAGUACAUGGACGAUAUGAACAUGUUGAAACAAACAAUUGUUCACAAUGUCAUGGAUGAUAUGGUUAUUAAUGAAUCAAAUCAGAUCAGAACUCUUGAAAUAAAUUUGCAUU